Xiphophorus couchianus (Monterrey platyfish) is the source of this 2847-nucleotide long non-coding RNA. RefSeq lists it as uncharacterized. The record is from RefSeq and is a predicted model, not a curated record. The transcript is spliced from 2 exons. NCBI's taxonomy places the organism in Eukaryota, Metazoa, Chordata, Actinopteri, Cyprinodontiformes, Poeciliidae.
UACAAAAGCAAAUCUGAGCCGCAAGUAACACACAAGACGCGAGACGGUGCGUUAACAAGGCAUUAGCUAGCCAUUUAUUGUUUAGAGGAAGUUAACAUGGUUAACUGUAUUCAAAGUCAUACAAUACACCUCUUAAGCUCUGUGAGAGGCUCCUCCCCAUGUCUCAGGGAGAAAAGCUGCAAGGAAUAUACAUACAGUAUAUUUUAUUGGCAAGUAGAUAUGUUUUAGCAAGUACAUUCUCUUCUACUUGGUGUUCAUGUACAAUAUACAUGUCAAAAAAAUAUAGUUUGUUUGCUUCGGGAUCCUGCUUUAGUUUUUUUUUUUUUUCCUUCCUUUUUUGGGUUCAGGAUGUUCAUGUCGAAGGAAUUCACAUUUAGUUGUUACUCGUUCUCAAGAUGGCGCCGGAGCUAGAAGAGCAGCCAUGUUAUACAAAUACACGUUAUGCAUAGAAGGCACCUCUAUGCAUUAAAAUUGCUUUCAUGAUUCAUGGAGAAGAGCAAUCAUCUGGGAAGAAACGGGAGAAAAAAAAAAUAAGGAAGAAAAUACGAGAAAGGAAAAAAAAAAAAAAGCAUCCGAGAACACAAGCACACCAUGGAAAAACAAAGAAAUAAAAAUAAUAAAGGAAGGAAGCGAGCGAUCUAGAAGAGACCAGACGAGAACAGAGUCAUCGUCUGAAGGAGAAAACUGCAUACAGUGCUCCACACCACAGAGCGCCUCUACCAGAGGAUGGACUUCGAUCAGAAUAAUCAAAGAACACUUUGAAGCAGGAGAGAACGGCGCUGAGAAAACUUCAUGAUUCCUACAGUAAAAGAGAAGCUGGUCGGCCCUGAUUCAGUGGUUGUGGAAAAAAAGUGUCUCCAAAGGCAAAGAGCACAGCAACUUCCACUUUGUUCCCCAUCCACCCACCACCCCUCAUGUGAGAGAUUCAGAGUCAGCACUGUUACAGUAAGUCCAACCACAACACUGCGGUUUCUCAAGGCAGAAAGCAAGUGGAGCAAUGCUGAAGUUACAUGUCUGAGUGAGAGUAAGGAUUGCUCUGCAUAAGUGCAACUGAUUGUGGAGUUUGACAUUUUGGGAAAAAAAAAAAAAUCCCUCCAAUUUCAUGAUUUAAAAAAAAAAAAAAAAGAGAGAGAGAUGCUGAUUAGUCUCGUCAACCUGACGUAUGAAACUAGCCCAAAAAUAAAUCCAGCACUUAACUUCCCUCUUGAAACCACUUCUUGUUUUUAGCCCCGUUCAGACCCACAGCCCCUACAUAUAUCUCUUUCAGUCGGUUUGUAGGCGUCGGCUACAUUUUAGUACAGCUACCUGAUAAAAAUAUAUAUUAAUUGAUAAGAUACAACUUGAAAUCGUUGGUGCAGAAGUAUUGCAAAGCUUGCAUGUCUUUUAGAUGCAUUUUAGUUCAAUAUCACCCCAAAUGUGCCUACAGUGAUGUUAGGGUUGCUGCUGAGGUGCCAUUGUCCGUUUAAAAUGAAUAUGGCGUCACGGUUUCCACCCAGUAAGGUGAGCACUACAGAGGACCUAAGAGCGAACGCUGGGAUAUCUUAAACCGCUGACCCUCUUAGGACGUUCUAUCACCGUUUCUGCCUGUGUCUGGAUACAUGUAUUAACAAGCUGAGCAGUGGGCUCAGGACACUGCCCUGUGGAACACCAGAAUUAAGGAGAAGCAACAUGUUGCUUUUUUUACGUGUCAAUAUACGUUGGUUGGAAAAUCCACAAAAUUCUAUAGAACGCGACUAAAUUCUGGAUUCAGCAGUUUGAGGAACUUUUGAUGACGAUGCAAAAGAAAAAAGAUAAAUGCAAUUGUCUAAAUGAACACAAGCCUUGAUAAAGCAAAUCAGUUCUUUUCACAAAAUGUCAAACAUUUUCUUUAAACACUGGUUGGAAUGACUUUCCUAAAAAGCUGUUUAGAUGCGUAUGUGUGUGUGUGUGUGUGUGUGUGUGUGUGCGUGCGUAAACCACGUCAAUGACCCAAUGUUACGUCUUAGAAGCCGAGAGAUGUGCGAUUGUUUCGUUGAACAGUGACUCUCAAACUUAAGUACACGUGGUGUUCGUAAAAAGGCAAUGGUACACAACAGGCGUUUGUCUUCAAUAGUGAAAAAUAAAAAUAAGGAAAUGCACUUAAAAAAAACAACAACAACAAAAUGAGGAAUUAAAAAGAAAAAGACAAAAAAAAAAACUGUGGCAGCCAUGGACCUGUGACGAUGCCAGCAGGUGAAACAGACAACAGAUUCCCCUGAAAUCUCAGUAUGUCAACAUACUGUGUGUGGCAGAAAUGCAGGCCGCCGUGGUGACUCCUCCCCUACAACCCAGAAUUAGACCAUUUAUAAAUGCUAAUUCAAGACUAAAACUGCUCUGCUGCUCAACAAAAAGCGCAGCAUUAAGGAUACCCGGCUUCAGCUAAGGAAUGGUUAAUAAACAGACUGAAUUCCACUGAAAGAAUAUUAAGUCUAUGUAAACUAGAAGACAGAAAAAAAAAAAAGAGAUCAUUUACACUCUACACAAGUUCAGUUUGAGUGCAUUUCAGGUGGUUCAAUACCUGAAAAAAAAAAAAACCCUCAUUUUAAAAGUCACUGGGUUAUAAAUCUAAAUUAAUAAGCAAUCAUUUUAUUAAUUACAAACAUUAAUGGAUGGUAAUUUUGCCCUACAAUGCAGAAACCAUCGGGUUUUUUUUUUUUUUUUCCUGUGUCGAAGGCAAAACCGGUUCACAUAAUGGAGCUAAAAAAAAAAAGACCAAUGAAAAUAAGAAAUCACUUGUGGGUUUGGCACAGGCCUUUUCACGAGAAACUCCUCACAUUUUUUUUUUCUAAAUACUCUACCUUAACUUUGGUUAAUAAAGUGAAAAAAACA